GACGAACGCUGGCGGCGUGCUUAACACAUGCAAGUCGAACGGAAAGGCCCUGCUUGCAGGGUACUCGAGUGGCGAACGGGUGAGUAACACGUGGGUGAUCUGCCCUGCACUUCGGGAUAAGCUUGGGAAACUGGGUCUAAUACCGGAUAGGAGCCAUCUUUAGUGUGGUGGUUGGAAAGUUUUUUCGGUGUAGGAUGAGCUCGCGGCCUAUCAGCUUGUUGGUGGGGUAAUGGCCUACUAAGGCGGCGACGGGUAGCCGGCCUGAGAGGGUGUACGGCCACAUUGGGACUGAGAUACGGCCCAGACUCCUACGGGAGGCAGCAGUGGGGAAUAUUGCACAAUGGGCGCAAGCCUGAUGCAGCGACGCCGCGUGGGGGAUGAAGGCCUUCGGGUUGUAAACUCCUUUCGCUAGGGACGAAGCUUUGUUGUGACGGUACCUAGAUAAGAAGCACCGGCUAACUACGUG
RNAcentral lists this ribosomal RNA (466 nucleotides) under uncultured bacterium. Its description in RNAcentral is "partial 16S ribosomal RNA". It matches the Rfam family "Bacterial small subunit ribosomal RNA", at positions 28 to 507 of the family's 1533-position model. The record is from RNAcentral.